This is a non-coding RNA of Pangasius djambal, 67 nucleotides long. The record is from the annotation of a GenBank genome assembly. Lineage: Eukaryota; Metazoa; Chordata; Actinopteri; Siluriformes; Pangasiidae.
UCCCUGGUGGUCUAGCGGCUGAAGAUCCCGCGCUCUCGAGGCCCGGGUUCAAUUCCCGGGCAGGGAA